GGAUUAACGAAGGGGUCGAUUGCAUUGUUAAAUUGUAAGAAAGGCUAUUAUCCACUCGAUGUCAACCGGAAAUGUUUAUCCUCUGGAAAUUGGUCAAGUGUCAACAUAUCCUGUAUCCCUUUUCCAGUUUGUGGAGCACCACCGUCGGUUGCAAAUGCAGUAUGGUUACCAGACGUAGACAACAAUGGAAAAAGAGCAACUCUCAGAUGUAAACAUGGGUUUUAUGGCAAAGAUAUUGAAAUAUCAUGUACAGAUAACGGAACAUGGGCAGAAUUUGACGAUCACGAGCCUUGUUAUCCAGAGUGUAAAACCCCAAAUGAUGUACAGAAUGGUAGUUGGAAUGUUAGUGGUUUGCAAAAUGGCUCUACAGCAAUUCUGACGUGUAAUGAGAACUAUUUGUCUAGGUCAGCGGUUGAAAUAAAAUGCCGUUCCAAUGGACAAUGGGAUCAAACUAAUGCGACGUGUAUUUUUGUAACUACAACUCAGACAGUUGGUCAAACUGUAGAAACAAGUUCCGAUGUGCAAUCAUCAGCAAUCAUGC
Mytilus trossulus (common blue mussel) is the source of this 541-nucleotide long non-coding RNA. RefSeq lists it as uncharacterized. The transcript is spliced from 4 exons. The record is from RefSeq and is a predicted model, not a curated record. NCBI's taxonomy places the organism in Eukaryota, Metazoa, Mollusca, Bivalvia, Mytilida, Mytilidae.